This 250-nucleotide ribosomal RNA is filed under the name uncultured bacterium. Its description in RNAcentral is "partial 16S ribosomal RNA". It matches the Rfam family "Bacterial small subunit ribosomal RNA", at positions 524 to 773 of the family's 1533-position model. The record is from RNAcentral.
UACGUAGGUGGCAAGCGUUGUCCGGAAUUACUGGGUGUAAAGGGUGCGCAGGCGGGACUGCAAGUUGGAUGUGAAAUUUCGAGGCUUAACCUCGAACCUGCAUCCAAAACUGUAGUUCUUGAGUGAAGUAGAGGUAGGCGGAAUUCCGAGUGUAGCGGUGAAAUGCGUAGAUAUUCGGAGGAACACCAGUGGCGAAGGCGGCCUACUGGGCUUUAACUGACGCUGAGGCACGAAAGCAUGGGGAGCAAAC